GGAGAUGUGGCUCAAAGGUUAAGAGCACUGGCUGUUCUUCCAGAGAACCCAGGUUCCAUUCCCAGCACCUCUA
This is a transfer RNA of Neotoma lepida (desert woodrat), 73 nucleotides long. It matches the Rfam family "tRNA". From Rfam's summary of the family: Transfer RNA (tRNA) molecules are approximately 80 nucleotides in length. Their secondary structure includes four short double-helical elements and three loops (D, anti-codon, and T loops). The record is from Rfam. NCBI's taxonomy places the organism in Eukaryota, Metazoa, Chordata, Mammalia, Rodentia, Cricetidae.